Molecule: ribosomal RNA, 518 nt
Filed under: uncultured bacterium
Lineage: Bacteria
Description: bacterial SSU rRNA
Rfam family: Bacterial small subunit ribosomal RNA
Source: RNAcentral
AGAGUUUGAUUCUGGCUCAGGAUGAACGCUAGCUACAGGCUUAACACAUGCAAGUCGAGGGGCAUCGAGGGAAGCUUGCUUCCUGUCGGCGACCGGCGCACGGGUGAGUAACGCGUAUCCAACCUUCCCCUUAGUAGGGCAUAGCCCGGCGAAAGUCGGAUUAAUACCCUAUGUUUUCCGAUGAGGACAUCUGAGCCGGAAUAAAGAUUUAUCGCUAAGGGAUGGGGAUGCGUCUGAUUAGGUAGUCGGCGGGGUAACGGCCCACCGAGCCUACGAUCAGUAGGGGUUCUGAGAGGAAGGUCCCCCACAUUGGUACUGAGACACGGACCAAACUCCUACGGGAGGCAGCAGUGAGGAAUAUUGGUCAAUGGGCGAGAGCCUGAACCAGCCAAGUAAGCGUGCAGGAUGACGGCCCUAUGGGUUGUAAACUGCUUUUAUCGGGGGAUAAAGUGAGGGACGCGUCCCUUUUUGUAGGUACCCGAUGAAUAAGGACCGGCUAAUUCCGUGCCAGCAGCGGC